AUAGCGUAUAUUAAAGUUGUUGCAGUUAAAAAGCUCGUAGUUGGAUCUCGGGUACUAGCAUGUGGUACGCUUAACUGCUGUUACUGCAUGUCUAGUCCUAAUCAAUCGGUUGGCCGUUUAUGCCCUUUACUGGGUGUUUUCGGUAGCCGGUACGUUUACUUUGAGAAAAUUAGAGUGCUUAAAGCAGGCUUUACGCCUGAAUAAUGUUGCAUGGAAUAAUAGAAUAGGACCUCGGUUCUAUUUUGUUGGUUUUGUAGAGCAUUGAGGUAAUGAUUAAUAGGGACAGACGGGGGCAUUCGUAUUGCGGUGUUAGAGGUGAAAUUCUUGGAUCGCCGCAAGACGAACAACUG
Molecule: ribosomal RNA, 350 nt
Filed under: uncultured eukaryote
Lineage: Eukaryota
Description: SSU rRNA
Rfam family: Eukaryotic small subunit ribosomal RNA
Source: RNAcentral